This is a long non-coding RNA of Capsicum annuum, 652 nucleotides long. RefSeq lists it as uncharacterized. The record is from RefSeq and is a predicted model, not a curated record. Lineage: Eukaryota; Viridiplantae; Streptophyta; Magnoliopsida; Solanales; Solanaceae. The transcript is spliced from 2 exons.
UUUAAUUUUGAAUCCACUUUUUAAAUCCUCUUAAUCUCAGUUGUGGAUCAAAAUCAAUCCGACUACUAAGAUCACAUAACUCUUUUCUUUCCUUUUAAAACAAAAACAAACCCUAAUCCUCAUUUUUCUCAAGAACAGCCGCACCUCCCUUCUUCUCUCUCUCUCGUGCCGCUACCUUAACCUCCAUGCCUCCGACGACGACGAAACCAUCACCGGCAACCCCAUGUCGGAUGAAACCAGCCACCAGCGCCAUCCUUGCAGCCAUAUAGAUGGCGACCGCCGUCGUUCUAGACCAACAAUAAUCGCCCCAAUGUCACCCGCAUCCCCAUUCGACCACUGUCGUCUCUCCUUCUCUCUCCGCUACCAUGCAUCCGGCGAGAAAACCAGUGCCAACCAGCUGCCGCUCUAGCCACAACUUCAGCAAAUCCAGUCAAUCGCCACUAUUGACCCAUUUCACCGGAAGACGGAUUCCUAAAAUCCGUUUCAGGUGUAAUACAUAGUUUCGUAGAUUUGAAGAGUCGCCGGAGUAUUGGGGAGGGGCUGCCCAUUCCUUUUUCUUUAUUUAGUUUUUUAUUUUAAUUCAUUGUGUUGUAAUAACUUUUGUAAACCUCAGUGUAAUAAUAAAUUUAUGGAGAAAACUUGGAGGCGGGGA